UUAGGUUGGUGCAAAAGUAAUUGUGGUUUUUGCCAUUGAAAGUAAUGGCAAAAACCGCAAUUACUUUUGUACCAGCCUAAUAAA
This is a microRNA precursor of Cercocebus atys (sooty mangabey), 84 nucleotides long. NCBI's taxonomy places the organism in Eukaryota, Metazoa, Chordata, Mammalia, Primates, Cercopithecidae. The record is from Ensembl.